This 498-nucleotide ribosomal RNA is filed under the name uncultured Pseudomonadota bacterium. RNAcentral's name for it is "bacterial SSU rRNA". It matches the Rfam family "Bacterial small subunit ribosomal RNA", at positions 355 to 868 of the family's 1533-position model. Lineage: Bacteria; Pseudomonadati; Pseudomonadota. The record is from RNAcentral.
UGGGGAAUAUUGGACAAUGGGCGCAAGCCUGAUCCAGCAAUGCCGCGUGAGUGAUGAAGGCCUUCGGGUUGUAAAGCUCUUUCGCACGCGACGAUGAUGACGGUAGCGUGAGAAGAAGCCCCGGCUAACUUCGUGCCAGCAGCCGCGGUAAUACGAAGGGGGCUAGCGUUGUUCGGAAUUACUGGGCGUAAAGGGCGCGUAGGCGGUACUUCAAGUCAGGCGUGAAAGCCCCGGGCUCAACCUGGGAACCGCGCUUGAGACUGGAGAACUAGAGUUCGGGAGAGGGAUGGUGGAAUUCCCAGUGUAGAGGUGAAAUUCGUAGAUAUUGGGAAGAACACCGAUGGCGAAGGCAGCCAUCUGGACCGACACUGACGCUGAGGCGCGAAAGCGUGGGGAGCAAACAGGAUUAGAUACCCUGGUAGUCCACGCCGUAAACGAUGAAGUGCUAGACGUUGGGGCCCUUAGGGCUUCGGUGUCGCAGCUAACGCAUUAAGCACU